CCUACGGGAGGCAGCAGUGGGGAAUAUUGCACAAUGGGGGAAACCCUGAUGCAGCGACGCAGCGUGAGUGAAGCAGUAAUUCGGGGUGUAAAGCUCUAUCAGCAGGGAAGAAAAUGACGGUACCUGAGCAAGAAGCCCCGGCUAACUACGUUCCAGCAGCCGAGGUAAUACGUAGGGGGCAAGCGUUAUACGGAUUUACUGGGUGUAAAGGGAGCGUAGUGGGGAUGUCAAGUCUGGAGUGAAAGGCGUGGGCUCAACCCCCGGACUGCUAUGGAUACUGGACGUCUGGAGUGCAGGAGAGGUAAGCGGAAUUCGUGGUGUAGCGGUGAAAUGCUUAGAUAUUAGGAAGAACUCCGAUGGCGAAGGCAGCUUACUGGACUGGAACUGACGUUGAGGAUCGAAAGCGUGGGUAGCAAACAGGAUUAGAUACCCGUGUAGUC
RNAcentral lists this ribosomal RNA (440 nucleotides) under uncultured bacterium. RNAcentral's name for it is "partial 16S ribosomal RNA". It matches the Rfam family "Bacterial small subunit ribosomal RNA", at positions 338 to 795 of the family's 1533-position model. The record is from RNAcentral.